CAAGACUGCAUUUCCAGCCAGCUCCAAAGUAAUGCUGAUAACCACAGUGAGCACCAAAGCCAAAUGCCAAAAACCAAAAAGGAUGGCAAGAAUCAACCACAGGGGACAUCAGAGGACCACAGGUGGAGGAGAAGAGGCGAAAGUGGAAGCAACACAGCUGGAAAUGCUGGGACGUGCAGCAUUCUAUACUGCAAGUAGGCCCCAUGAAACAACCCUAAGGCAAGAAAGCAUCCACUAUGCCCAGAGAACAGCAAGGUGGCCCAGUUGGGUAGAGCAGAGUGACCUGUAGGAAGAAUAAUGGAUGUCAGGAGGAUUACUCUGGAUGCUAUGCUGAGAAGAAACUGAAGACAAUGGUGGAAGUGGGAAAGCUUAUGACUCAGAAUAACUAUGUCUAAUAACAAAUUUUAAGUUCUCUUCAUGAGCAGCUGACACAAAUCUUCAACUCAUUGAUGAUGGCAUCUGACAGUUCCAGGUAUUAAGAAGAAAGAAUCUGAGAAAUUAUGGCGUACUCAACUGUGGACAGCUGAAAGUCUGGCAUAGCGUGCCCUCAUCAUCACAAAUGGGCUCGCAUUACAAGCUACACUUAUUUGACAACUAUCAGCAUUUGUCAACUGGCACUCAGAUUUGAAGCCUCAUUUCACAACUGGAGCAAGAGAGGACAGGAAGGAAAAAUCAGAGUAAGGUUUCAAUGAGUUUCUGCAAAUUCUCAGAAGUUUUGCUGCC
RNAcentral lists this long non-coding RNA (723 nucleotides) under Pan troglodytes (chimpanzee). RNAcentral describes it as "long non-coding RNA NONPTRT005347". The record is from RNAcentral. Lineage: Eukaryota; Metazoa; Chordata; Mammalia; Primates; Hominidae.